This 253-nucleotide ribosomal RNA is filed under the name uncultured bacterium. Its description in RNAcentral is "partial 16S ribosomal RNA". It matches the Rfam family "Bacterial small subunit ribosomal RNA", at positions 524 to 776 of the family's 1533-position model. The record is from RNAcentral.
UACGGGGGGGGCAAGCGUUGUUCGGAAUUACUGGGCGUAAAGGGUUUGUAGGUGGCUUGCUAAGUCAGACGUGAAAUCCCUCAGCUUAACUGGGGAACUGCGUCUGAUACUGGCGAGCUUGAGUGCAGGAGAGGAACGCGGAAUUCCAGGUGUAGCGGUGAAAUGCGUAGAUAUCUGGAGGAAUACCGGUGGCGAAGGCGGCAUCCUGGACCGGCAUUGACGCUGAGGAGCGAAAGCCAGGGGAGCAAACGGG